GAUGAACGCUGGCGGCGUGCCUAAUACAUGCAAGUCGAGCGAACAGACGAGGAGCUUGCUCCUCUGACGUUAGCGGCGGACGGGUGAGUAACACGUGGAUAACCUACCUAUAAGACUGGGAUAAAUUCGGGAGACCGGAGCUAAUACCGGAUAAUAUAUUGAACCGCAUGGUUCAAUAGUGAAAGACGGUUUUGCUGUCACUUAUAGAUGGAUCCGCGCCGCAUUAGCUAGUUGGUAAGGUAACGGCUUACCAAGGCAACGAUGCGUAGCCGACCUGAGAGGGUGAUCGGCCACACUGGAACUGAGACACGGUCCAGACUCCUACGGGAGGCAGCAGUAGGGAAUCUUCCGCAAUGGGCGAAAGCCUGACGGAGCAACGCCGCGUGAGUGAUGAAGGUCUUCGGAUCGUAAAACUCUGUUAUUAGGGAAGAACAAAUGUGUAAGUAACUAUGCACGUCUUGACGGUACCUAAUCAGAAAGCCACGGCUAACUACGUG
Molecule: ribosomal RNA, 497 nt
Filed under: uncultured bacterium
Lineage: Bacteria
Description: partial 16S ribosomal RNA
Rfam family: Bacterial small subunit ribosomal RNA
Source: RNAcentral